Molecule: long non-coding RNA, 717 nt
Organism: Coregonus clupeaformis (lake whitefish)
Lineage: Eukaryota; Metazoa; Chordata; Actinopteri; Salmoniformes; Salmonidae
Exons: 3
Source: RefSeq, a predicted model, not a curated record
CCCAACAGAAAUGUCAUCUUCAUAUGUACUGCCAGCAACGGGCUCACUAACGCCUCUAGGGUUGUGAGGGAGACAUGCCAAGAUGAACAGCCCAAGCCUGAGUUGCUCUUAGGAUAUCUGUUCAGAUGUCUUUUAACAUAUAUUUUCAGAGGUGAGUGGGAAUUAAAUUACAACUAAUUGUAAUUUCUAUCAAAUUUCACAGUGCCUCCAGAUGUCUUGUGUAUAAAUAUAUGCUCCCUUAAUUUAAGUUCUAGCUGAAAUGAAGAUGUUUUGCAACCUUUAUUUUCUGUGCUAGGUGCAAAAUAGGUACAACGGAAGAUAUCACUGACUGCCUUGUUUUAUGUUUGCCAUAGAGUCCCUCACAUGCUUAUCAACCAGGUUCAACAAGCGUCGAAGCAUCAACCAGGUGGGUGCUACACUUUCGGAAGUUGAAAGAAACUCCAGUCUACCUAUAGAGAGGAGCUGAACAUCGUAGUUGACAAAGUGCCUGAUGAAGAGCACCUGCCCUGACUGACAUUUCUCCCUGGUUGUUCCAUCUAUGCUCCCCCACUCAACCUACUGUCUAUCCAUACUGCCUCAAUGCCUUAUCAUCUGAUGCUGUUGAAGCCAAUCGCCCAAGAAUCUGCCAGAUCCUUUUGUUUUUUAGAUUGUUUUUUAAAGUGACUUUGAGGUUCUUAAAUGAAAGCGCUAUAUAAAAUACAUAUUAUUAUUAUUAUU